This 465-nucleotide ribosomal RNA is filed under the name uncultured bacterium. Its description in RNAcentral is "partial 16S ribosomal RNA". It matches the Rfam family "Bacterial small subunit ribosomal RNA", at positions 28 to 507 of the family's 1533-position model. The record is from RNAcentral.
GACGAACGCUGGCGGCGUGCUUAACACAUGCAAGUCGAACGGAAAGGCCCUGCUUGCAGGGUACUCGAGUGGCGAACGGGUGAGUAACACGUGGGUGAUCUGCCCUCCACUUCGGGAUAAGCCUGGGCAACUGGGUCUAAUACCGGAUAGGAGACAUUUUUAGUGUGAUGGUUGGAAAGUUUUUUCGGUGUAGGAUGAGUUCGCGGCCUAUCGGCUUGUUGGUGGGGUAAUGGCCUACCAAGGCGGCGACGGGUAGCCGGCCUGAGAGGGUGGACGGCCACCUUGGGACUGAGAGACGGCCCAGACUCCUACGGGAGGCAGCAGUGGGGAAUAUUGCACAAUGGGCGCAAGCCUGAUGCAGCGACGCCGCGUGGGGGAUGACGGCCUUCGGGUUGUAAACUCCUUUCGCUAGGGACGAAGCUUUUUGUGACGGUACCUAGAUAAGAAGCACCGGCUAACUACGUG